Molecule: ribosomal RNA, 610 nt
Filed under: Acarospora schleicheri
Lineage: Eukaryota; Fungi; Ascomycota; Lecanoromycetes; Acarosporales; Acarosporaceae
Description: partial large subunit ribosomal RNA
Rfam family: Eukaryotic large subunit ribosomal RNA
Source: RNAcentral
ACUUAAGCAUAUCAAUAAGCGGAGGAAAAGAAACCAACAGGGAUUGCCUCAGUAACGGCGAGUGAAGCGGCAACAGCUCAAAUUUGAAAUCUGGCCCUUUCAGGGUCCGAGUUGUAAUUUGCAGAGGAUGCUUCGGGUUCAGCUCCGGUCUAAGUUCCUUGGAACAGGACGUCAUAGAGGGUGAGAAUCCCGUAUGUGACCGGUCGCGAUGCCCGUGUGAAGCUCCUUCGACGAGUCGAGUUGUUUGGGAAUGCAGCUCAAAACGGGUGGUAAAUUUCAUCUAAAGCUAAAUAUUGGCCAGAGACCGAUAGCGCACAAGUAGAGUGAUCGAAAGAUGAAAAGCACUUUGGAAAGAGAGUCAAACAGUACGUGAAAUUGUUGAAAGGGAAGCGCUUGCAACCAGACUUGCCUGCAGGCGAUCAGCCGGUAUUCUUACCGGUGCACUUGCCUGCAGUCAGGCCAGCAUCGGUUCGGGUGGCUGGAUAAAGUCCACUGGAAUGUGGCUCCCCUCGGGGAGUGUUAUAGCCAGAGGUGCCAUGCAGCCCACCCGGACCGAGGACCGCGCUUCGGCUAGGAUGCUGGCGUAAUGGUGGUAAGCGACCCGUCUUGA